RNAcentral lists this microRNA (23 nucleotides) under Mesocestoides corti. Its description in RNAcentral is "mco-miR-31-5p". Its record names the gene mco-miR-31-5p. Lineage: Eukaryota; Metazoa; Platyhelminthes; Cestoda; Cyclophyllidea; Mesocestoididae. The record is from miRBase by way of RNAcentral.
AGCUUCGGCAACUCUUGCUAUGU